Molecule: ribosomal RNA, 668 nt
Filed under: Shigella sp.
Lineage: Bacteria; Pseudomonadati; Pseudomonadota; Gammaproteobacteria; Enterobacterales; Enterobacteriaceae
Description: bacterial SSU rRNA
Rfam family: Bacterial small subunit ribosomal RNA
Source: RNAcentral
AUUGAACGCUGGCGGCAGGCCUAACACAUGCAAGUCGAACGGUAGCAGGAAGAAGCUUGCUUCUUUGCUGACGAGUGGCGGACGGGUGAGUAAUGUCUGGGAAACUGCCUGAUGGAGGGGGAUAACUACUGGAAACGGUAGCUAAUACCGCAUAACGUCGCAAGACCAAAGAGGGGGACCUUCGGGCCUCUCGCCAUCGGAUGUGCCCAGAUGGGAUUAGCUAGUAGGUGGGGUAACGGCUCACCAAGGCGACGAUCCCUAGCUGGUCUGAGAGGAUGACCAGCCACACUGGAACUGAGACACGGUCCAGACUCCUACGGGAGGCAGCAGUGGGGAAUAUUGCACAAUGGGCGCAAGCCUGAUGCAGCCAUGCCGCGUGUAUGAAGAAGGCCUUCGGGUUGUAAAGUUCUUUCAGCGGGGAGGAAGGGAGUAAAGUUAAUACCUUUGCUCAUUGACGUUACCCGCAGAAGAAGCACCGGCUAACUCCGUGCCAGCAGCCGCGGUAAUACGGAGGGUGCAAGCGUUAUUCGGAAUUACUGGGCGUAAAGCGCACGCAGGCGGUUUGUUAAGUCAGAUGUGAAAUCCCCGGGCUCAACCUGGGAACUGCAUCUGAUACUGGCAAGCUUGAGUCUAGUAGAGGGGGGUAGAAUUCCAGGUGUAGCGGUGAA